UCGGUUUUGAAGAAAGGGAGAUAGAGAGCAUCAGAAAAUAAAGGGUGCUGCAUCUCCUCUUUGAAGGGAAGAAGAAAGUGCUCCUCUUCAAUUGUUCCCUCGGAUCACGGCUGAGAUGAAAAAGUACAAAGAAGGGUACAUCUACAUGUCGAGUUUGGAAGACGCACAAGAGAAAGCCUUUGUCAUCGGGCACAUGCAAUCAGCAAGUUUCAGUGGACCUGGAGAGUCCAGUGAUGGAGCUACCUCGAAGUCGAAGGCCAAAGGAAAACAACCGUCGGAUCAAGAAUGAGUUUUACUCAGGGUGGAGUCAGUCAAUGCUCAAGGGGACACUUCCCCCCAUUUGGCAAACUCAGUAGUACUUAUGCUAGUUAUCAAACUCAAUG
Molecule: non-coding RNA, 383 nt
Organism: Malus domestica (apple)
Lineage: Eukaryota; Viridiplantae; Streptophyta; Magnoliopsida; Rosales; Rosaceae
Source: RefSeq, a predicted model, not a curated record